CGCGAUAUUUCAUCCGCUCAGCCUGGAAAGAAAAUCCCGCCGUCCUCAUCUCCUCGCCGUGAGCUAUGCAGGACACUGCAAAUUCUUCUCUCUCUCCCUCACGUCUUCCUCCCAUGGCGCGCAGCUCUCUCUGCUCCUGCUCCCUCAUGGCGUCUCCAGCUCCUUCCCAUGGCCGGCGCUCGUCCCAACGCCGAGCUCGGCCUUGCCAUCUCCCAACGCUCCGCCACCCGGAGUCCUGCCCCGACGCGUGUGCUCCUCUGCUCGCCGCGCCCCUGCGAGCUUCCUCCAUCGGCCAUGGACGCCGGUGAGCUUAUCCCCUGGUGCCGCGACCUCGCCAUGGAGUUUCAAGCGCUUUUCUUCCCUGCUGCGCAGCUCCCUCGGCGUCCCUCCCGUGCUCGCGCCCAGCCCGGUUUCCAGAGCCCUCCCUGUCGUAGCUCGCACCCGUCGUCCUGCCUGCUCGAGCUCGCCCCGGCCUCCUGCUCCUUCACGACGUCCUUGGCUGCGUUUUAGCGAGAUUUCAGAGGAGAAAUCCAUGUGGACUAGUGAAAAGAAGCAGGCCCAGUACAGCGUCCGCUAGAUGUUCAACGAAACGCCGAAACCAAUAAUCAUCAUCGUCUCCGACUUCCGCAGCAGCAGCGUCGUUCUCUCCAUGGUGCUCGUCGUCGACUUCGCCCUCACAUCAUCAUGGCUUGACGGUCGCCUAAGCUCGUGCUUGCUCAUCUACUCGUCCUCGCCAUGGACAUGCGUCUCCGCAUGCUGAUGUGCCCAGACCAUCAAUUUCGCCCUUGUCAUUACAAGCGUCACCGGCGUCCGCGGAUAGGUGAGUAGGUGGGUGUUCAAAAUAUAUGGUGUGAUCGACGCCGUUUUAGUAUUGUGUGAUGAUUUACAUCUUUCAUGUGUUCAUGCGUUUGAAUCGUAAUAUACGAUUAGUGAGGAAAGCUAGAUGAUGUAGGCCGUGAAGGUUCGUGCAGCGUCCGUUUAGUGUUCGGCAAAACGCCCGAACCAUGAUUCAUCGUCGAUUUGCGAUUUUCAAAUCGUUUUGGUCAUGGUAAGCAGAUGGGUUAUUCGUGAUAAUUAGAUCGUUAAAUAAAUUAAUGGGUUAGUGCGAUGAUCCUUUUAUUUAGUUUAUGUGCGCUUGAUAGCUAUGUCUAGAUCCGUUGUCGUGUCGGUGUGCUAUUGUAUGGUGAAAAUAGCUUUAGCGCAGCACUCCUUGGAUGUUCUGU
RNAcentral lists this unclassified non-coding RNA (1223 nucleotides) under Zea mays. Its description in RNAcentral is "misc RNA Zm00001eb238840". The record is from RNAcentral. Lineage: Eukaryota; Viridiplantae; Streptophyta; Magnoliopsida; Poales; Poaceae.